This is a long non-coding RNA of Nematostella vectensis (starlet sea anemone), 1170 nucleotides long. RefSeq lists it as uncharacterized. The record is from RefSeq and is a predicted model, not a curated record. Lineage: Eukaryota; Metazoa; Cnidaria; Anthozoa; Actiniaria; Edwardsiidae. The transcript has 2 exons.
UGGAAUCCGGUUUCUAAGGUGUGUAACACAACAAAGAUGGAAACCGCGCAGCCAUGAAUUAGGGAUGUUUCAGACCCUCUGUUUCAUACCAGAGUAAAUACUUCCGCGAGAGUUAUCAAGUGAGUUUUGAUUUUAUUAUAAUUUUUCUCACGAAAAUUUUCAAUACACGGAAUUGUCGCCACCAUGACAAGUUCAUGACAUGGUGACGUCAUCAAUGCCUAUCCGAGUUCAUUCGGUAUCGUAGAGGAUAUCGGUUCGCCGUCGCCAUUGACGGUGAUGGGUUGUGGCUCAUGGCACCGGAAGUGUGAUGGUACCGGAAGUGAUCGUGUCUUCCAUUACAACGAGCAAUCGUUCUAACUCGUGUGUUUCAAGCAAAAGCCAUUGACGGUGAUGGGUUGUGGCUCCUGGAACCGAAUGUGAUCGUGUCUUCCAUUACAACGAGCAAUCGUUCUAACUCGUGUGUUUUAAGCAAUAGCCAUUGACGGUGAUGGGUUGUGGCUCAUGGCACCGGAAGUGUGAUGGUACCGGUAGUGAUCGUGUCUUCCAUUACAACGAGCAAUCGUUCUAACUCGUGUGUUUCAAGCAAUGGCCAUUGACGGUGAUGGGUUGUGGCUCAUGACACCGGAAAGGUGAUGGUACCGGAAGUGAUCGUGUCUUCCAUUACAACGAGCAAUCGUUCUUACUCGUGUGUUUCAAGCAAUGGCCAUUGACGGUGAUGGGUUGUGGCUCCUGGCACCGGAAGUGCGAUGGUACCGGAAGUGAUCGACGUAUUCACUACAACCAUUGCCUUUCUAGCAAUAGCCAUGUACGAUGGGUUGUGGCUUCUGACUAGAGGGUAGUUGAUGAUGGGAUGUUUAUUCGAUAAAGCCGUCGUUAUAACUCAUUCAACACCACUGAUGUCCCUUUCAAGUAGUAGCUGAAUUGUUGAGCUUUGGAUUUAGAUUUCUCCAACAGAUCCUGAAACAAGCAAAUAUAUUUUCAAAAAAUACAACGAUAAUGAUGGUUCUAUUAAUGAUGAUGAUGACUACGAUGACUAUUUCAAUGAUGACGAUUAUAAUCAUGAUGACGAUGUUGAAAAUGGUGAUGGUAAUGUCAAUUUUGAUUAUGGUGGUGGUGGUGGUGAUGAUGAUGGUAAUAACGAUGAUGUGACCAUCGUGGAAGAACUGGAGA